UACAGAGGGUGCGAGCGUUGUUCGGAAUUAUUGGGCGUAAAGGGCGCGUAAGCGGUGCGGUAAGUCACCUGUGAAAUCUCCUGGCUCAACUGGGAGCUUGCAGGCGAAACUGCCGUGCUGGAGUGUGGGAGAGGUGCGUGGAAUUCCUGGUGUAGCGGUGAAAUGCGUAGAUAUCAGGAGGAACACCUGUGGCGAAAGCGGCGCACUGGACCACAACGAUGCGCUGGAGGCGCGAAAGCUAGGGGGAGCAAACAGG
This 256-nucleotide ribosomal RNA is filed under the name uncultured bacterium. RNAcentral describes it as "partial 16S ribosomal RNA". It matches the Rfam family "Bacterial small subunit ribosomal RNA", at positions 524 to 776 of the family's 1533-position model. The record is from RNAcentral.